GUGGGGAAUAUUGGGCAAUGGGCGAAAGCCUGACCCAGCAACGCCGCGUGAAGGAAGAAGGUUUUCGGAUCGUAAACUUCUAUCCUUGGUGAAGAUAAUGACGGUAGCCAAGAAGGAAGCCCCGGCUAACUACGUGCCAGCAGCCGCGGUAAUACGUAGGGGGCAAGCGUUGUCCGGAAUGAUUGGGCGUAAAGGGCGCGUAGGCGGCCCGGUAAGUCUGAAGUGAAAGUCCUGCUUUUAAGGUGGGAAUUGCUUUGGAUACUGUCGGGCUUGAGUGCAGGAGAGGUAAGCGGAAUUCCCGGUGUAGCGGUGAAAUGCGUAGAGAUCGGGAGGAACACCAGUGGCGAAGGCGACUUACUGGACUGUAACUGACGCUGAGGCGCGAAAGUGUGGGGAGCAAACAGGAUUAGAAACCCGGGUAGUCC
Molecule: ribosomal RNA, 425 nt
Filed under: uncultured bacterium
Lineage: Bacteria
Description: partial 16S ribosomal RNA
Rfam family: Bacterial small subunit ribosomal RNA
Source: RNAcentral